Molecule: ribosomal RNA, 1231 nt
Filed under: Escherichia coli
Lineage: Bacteria; Pseudomonadati; Pseudomonadota; Gammaproteobacteria; Enterobacterales; Enterobacteriaceae
Description: partial 23S ribosomal RNA
Rfam family: Bacterial large subunit ribosomal RNA
Source: RNAcentral
AUAAUGGGUCAGCGACUUAUAUUCUGUAGCAAGGUUAACCGAAUAGGGGAGCCGAAGGGAAACCGAGUCUUAACUGGGCGUUAAGUUGCAGGGUAUAGACCCGAAACCCGGUGAUCUAGCCAUGGGCAGGUUGAAGGUUGGGUAACACUAACUGGAGGACCGAACCGACUAAUGUUGAAAAAUUAGCGGAUGACUUGUGGCUGGGGGUGAAAGGCCAAUCAAACCGGGAGAUAGCUGGUUCUCCCCGAAAGCUAUUUAGGUAGCGCCUCGUGAAUUCAUCUCCGGGGGUAGAGCACUGUUUCGGCAAGGGGGUCAUCCCGACUUACCAACCCGAUGCAAACUGCGAAUACCGGAGAAUGUUAUCACGGGAGACACACGGCGGGUGCUAACGUCCGUCGUGAAGAGGGAAACAACCCAGACCGCCAGCUAAGGUCCCAAAGUCAUGGUUAAGUGGGAAACGAUGUGGGAAGGCCCAGACAGCCAGGAUGUUGGCUUAGAAGCAGCCAUCAUUUAAAGAAAGCGUAAUAGCUCACUGGUCGAGUCGGCCUGCGCGGAAGAUGUAACGGGGCUAAACCAUGCACCGAAGCUGCGGCAGCGACGCUUAUGCGUUGUUGGGUAGGGGAGCGUUCUGUAAGCCUGCGAAGGUGUGCUGUGAGGCAUGCUGGAGGUAUCAGAAGUGCGAAUGCUGACAUAAGUAACGAUAAAGCGGGUGAAAAGCCCGCUCGCCGGAAGACCAAGGGUUCCUGUCCAACGUUAAUCGGGGCAGGGUGAGUCGACCCCUAAGGCGAGGCCGAAAGGCGUAGUCGAUGGGAAACAGGUUAAUAUUCCUGUACUUGGUGUUACUGCGAAGGGGGGACGGAGAAGGCUAUGUUGGCCGGGCGACGGUUGUCCCGGUUUAAGCGUGUAGGCUGGUUUUCCAGGCAAAUCCGGAAAAUCAAGGCUGAGGCGUGAUGACGAGGCACUACGGUGCUGAAGCAACAAAUGCCCUGCUUCCAGGAAAAGCCUCUAAGCAUCAGGUAACAUCAAAUCGUACCCCAAACCGACACAGGUGGUCAGGUAGAGAAUACCAAGGCGCUUGAGAGAACUCGGGUGAAGGAACUAGGCAAAAUGGUGCCGUAACUUCGGGAGAAGGCACGCUGAUAUGUAGGUGAAGUCCCUCGCGGAUGGAGCUGAAAUCAGUCGAAGAUACCAGCUGGCUGCAACUGUUUAUUAAAAACACAGCACUGUGCAA